AGUAAUUAAAACUAGAGAAUAUAUUUAGAUAUAUUAGCCAGUAUUUUGAUAAAGAUAGAUAUAUUAAUCAUAUACAAAGAAAAACCUGAGACAGUUGUGAAGCUGUUCUAUCUCCCUUAAAGUCUCCUUUCAAUAUGUUUGCCCAGUUUCCUUCACCGCAUUUUUGGACUGCAGCAAUGAGUUCAAAGUCUUCUGAUUCUGUCCAUGGUUUACGCUUUCGCCGAGGAGGCAAGUUGGUA
RNAcentral lists this long non-coding RNA (239 nucleotides) under Nicotiana benthamiana. RNAcentral's name for it is "long non-coding RNA (NBEN_LNC015613)". The record is from RNAcentral. Lineage: Eukaryota; Viridiplantae; Streptophyta; Magnoliopsida; Solanales; Solanaceae.